UGACCAAGUCACAGAACCCGGCCAUGGCCUC
Molecule: small RNA, 31 nt
Filed under: Bombyx mori (domestic silkworm)
Lineage: Eukaryota; Metazoa; Arthropoda; Insecta; Lepidoptera; Bombycidae
Description: ovarian small RNA-8080
Source: RNAcentral